This 71-nucleotide transfer RNA is filed under the name Ictidomys tridecemlineatus (thirteen-lined ground squirrel). RNAcentral describes it as "Spermophilus tridecemlineatus (thirteen-lined ground squirrel) tRNA". It matches the Rfam family "tRNA". From Rfam's summary of the family: Transfer RNA (tRNA) molecules are approximately 80 nucleotides in length. Their secondary structure includes four short double-helical elements and three loops (D, anti-codon, and T loops). Lineage: Eukaryota; Metazoa; Chordata; Mammalia; Rodentia; Sciuridae. The record is from Rfam by way of RNAcentral.
GUGAGUGUAGCUCACUGGGUGAGCACUUGCCUAGCAUGCAUGAGGUCCUGGGUUCGGUUUCCGGCAUCACA